GACGAACGCUGGCGGCGUGCUUAACACAUGCAAGUCGAACGGAAAGGCCCUGCUUUUGUGGGGUGUUCGAGUGGCGAACGGGUGAGUAACACGUGAGUAACCUGCUCUUGACUUUGGGAUAACUUCAGGAAAAAGGGGCUAAUACCGGCUAGGAGCUCCUGCUGCAUGGUGGGGGUUGGAAAGUUUCGGCGGUUGGGGAUGGACUCGCGGCUUAUCAGCUUGAUGGUGGGGUAGUGGCUUACCAAGGCUUGGACGGGUAGCCGGCCUGAGAGGGUGACCGGCCACAUUGGGACUGAGAUACGGCCCAGACUCCUACGGGAGGCAGCAGUGGGGAAUAUUGCACAAUGGGCGGAAGCCUGAUGCAGCAACGCCGCGUGCGGGAUGACGGCCUUCGGGUUGUAAACCGCUUUCGCCUGUGACGAAGCGUGAGUGACGGUAAUGGGUAAAGAAGCACCGGCUAACUACGUG
RNAcentral lists this ribosomal RNA (468 nucleotides) under uncultured bacterium. RNAcentral describes it as "partial 16S ribosomal RNA". It matches the Rfam family "Bacterial small subunit ribosomal RNA", at positions 28 to 507 of the family's 1533-position model. The record is from RNAcentral.